UUUGACCCCGGAAGUCAGCCUCUCUGGUUCCUCCCUCUCCAAGAUGGCAGCUUCUGAAGACGGAUUAGAGUUACCUCGACUUCCUGAGCUGUUUGAAACCAGCAAACAGCUUCUGGAGGAAGUAGAAGUAACGAAUGAACCCACUGGCUCCGGGACAAUCCAGGAUAAAGUGUUCAAGGGACUGGACCUACUUGAGAAGGCUGCCGAAAUGUUAUCGCAGCUCGAUUUGUUCAGCCGAAAUGAAGAUUUAGAAGAAAUUGCUUCCAUCGAUCUGAAGUACCUGAUGGUGCCAGCGUUUCAAGGAGCCCUCACCAUGAAACAAGUCAACCCCAGCAAGCGUCUAGAUCAUUUACAGCGGGCUCGAGAACAUUUUAUAAACUACUUAACUCAGUGCCAUUAUUAUCAUGUGGCAGAGUUUCAGCUGCCCAAAACCAAUAACAACACAGCUGAAAAGAACACUGCUAGUUCCUCCGUGGCCUAUGCUAACCUCGUUACUAUGGCUUCUCAAAGAAAGGCUAAAAUAGAGAGGUACAAGCAGAAGAAAGAGGUGGAACAUAGGUUGUCUACACUAAAAUCUGCUGUGGAAAGUGGUCAAGCAGAUGAUGAGCAAGUUCGUGAAUAUUACCUCCUUCACCUUCGGAGGUGGAUUGGAAUCAGCUUAGAAGAGGUUGAGAGCAUUGACCAGGAAAUAAAGAUCCUGAGAGAAAAAGACUCUUCAAGAGAGGCAUCAACUUCUCACUCACCUCUUCAGGACAGACCUCCAGUGAAAUCCUUCAUACUCACUCGUGACAAGGCCCAAGCCAAAGUAUUUGGAGCUGGUUAUCCAAGUCUGGCAACUAUGACAGUGAGUGACUGGUAUGAACAGCAUCGGAAAUAUGGAGCAUUACCAGACCAGGGAAUAGCCAAGGCAACAUCAGGAACAGAAGUAGUCUGGGCAAAGAUUCUGAGUAAUUGAAAGAUUCUAGGCCAAAAAAGAAGAAAGAAAGAAAAAGAAAAGAAAAGAAAAGAAAAGAUUCACCAGCAGCAUAGUUUUGGAAUCUUUCUAAAUAUCAUGACAUAAGAAUAACAACCAGAUAAAAAAACUAAAAUCCAUGGACAAUAGUUCCAUUUCUGGUAUGAUGGAGCAAGUUGUACCAGGCCAACCCCUCCAGGUAAUAAUUACAAAUUGAACAAAAUACAUUUUUUUAAAAAACACAAUUACCUAAAGACUCUGAGGGUGACUAAAAGCAGGAUAAAAUGGAAGGAAGUCAGCACUUAGGAGAGAAUGGGACUUGAAAUUGCUUGAGAACAGGGACUUUGACUUCUUAUAUCCUUGGUGUCCAACUUGGUGUUGGGAUCAUAGUAGGAACUCAAAAGUGGAAGAGUUGUAAGAAGAGAGUGGCCAUCAGAAAGUUGAAAGCACUCUGGUAAAGCAGAAAAAUCAUACACAGAUCUGGAGUGACCAGUCCUUUUCCUGCCACGUAACAAUUGACACAUCAGCCUCUCUGAACUUGUUUUUUUCUUCUGACCCUCGUAAAAGCAGACAUUCUAAUUCCGACUUUAAAGUGAGAGCAUGAUCUCUGAAAACUGAUUUACCACACCAUAGUUAAUAAAUGAUUGGGCUAGGAUUUAAAUUUAGACCUUCAAAAUCCUAGUUUUAGUACUACUUCCAUUUUAGCAUAGAAAAGAUUACCAUUUAAAGAGUUUCCUGAUUUUUUUUUAAUUUUUAAAAUUUAUUUUUAUUAUUACUGCUUUUAACCUGUGGACAGACUGCAGUUUCUGUGAUGCAGAUUAGCUGAAAUGUAGAUAGAAACUUGUGAUCUUAUUGUUUGAGGAAUAAGAACUGAGUUCAGGGUAACCAUAGCAGCUAAAAAUAAAGGAUGAUAUCCAUCCUGGAGAGGAGAGAACUACAAAGGAAGAGCCUUAUUUCUGUAUAUAGACCACAUCAAAAUCACUGGCUGACUCCUGAACUCUGUUUACAGAAUGGACUCUCUAUGCACCUUAGCUAACACUAAAAUAACUCAAUGGAGAACUCAACUGUUUCCCCAUGCAAGAUAGAACUUGGCAUUUUGGUUCUAGACAAGUUAAUUGCCUUCUAGAAUUAAAAAAUCUGUAUUCUAGAGCAGUGAAACAGUACAGUGCUCCUCAGCUUAGGAUAGGUUCACAUCCUGAUGAACCCAUCAUAAACUGAAAAUGUUGUAAAUUGAAAAUGCAUUUAAUACACCUAACCUAUCAAUCAUCAUAGCUUAGACACAGCACUCUGGAGUACAGAUCAGUUAGCCUUGUGAUCUCAUGACUGACUAUUUGCCAUGGUUUAUUUCUGCCAUCAACAGAAUCAUACUGCAUAUUGCUAUCAUGGAAAAGGAUCAGUUUAAAAUUCAGAAUAGUUUUUACUGAAUAUGUAUCACUUGUGUCACUGUGUAGUCAAAAAAUAAUUUGAGCCAUCAUAAGUCAGGGGCUACCUGUAUAUUAUUCAUAAUGUCUAGAAUUCAAUCUUAAGCUAUUAGACAUGAAAAAAAAAGCCAGAAAAUGUGACUUAUUUAAGAGGAAAGGCAAUCAAUAGGUACCAGCCCCAAGAUAAUUCAGGUGUUAGAAAUAGCAUACAAGGACUUUACAUAGCUAUUAUUGUCCUUAAGAUCAGAGUAGAAAAAUGCUUGUAGUGAAUGAAAAGAUAAGUAAUCUCAGGAGAAAAACUAUACCCUAAAUAUUCUGGAACUAGAACAUAAAAUCAACUACAUAAGGUUCUACAAUAAUAACCUGGGAGAAGAGAGAACACAGUCAGCUCAAAGUAAAUAAAGGAAACAAGAAAGAGAAGUCUAGAGGUGGUGAUGGUAAUCCAUAAUCCAUGGAAAUCGAACAUGUAUACACCUCCAUGACUUAAUUGUUUUACUCCUCAGUAUAUAUGUAAGCUAAAGGAGACCAUAAUUUUUCAUGGCAUCAUUAUUUGCAGGACCCCACAGUGUACACUACUCAAAUGCCCAUAAAUAUUAAAAUAGAGACGUGAAUUUUUGUGUAUUCACACAGUGGACUUCUGUGUGGCAGUAAAAUUAAAUUAUAGUUCUUCAUCAAAUCUAGCCAAAUCUUGCAAGUCUAAUUAUGAUUUAAAAAGCCAGAUUUCAUUCCAUUCAUAUAAAGUUUAAAAACUUCAUGUGAAUUACAUGAUUCCAUUUUUAUGGAAUUCAAAAGCAGAGUGAAACUUCUAUGUGUCACUCAGUGGAAUUGGAUCUGAGGGGGCUUCUGAGGAGUAAGUAGUAUUUUGUAACUGGGUAGUGAUUAAUGGACAUGUUGAGUACAUGUGAAAAUUCAUUAAAUUAAACUUGUAUUCAUGAAGAAACAUGAAAUACUUCAAAAAUGCUAAAAACAAAAACCUCAUAGAUAUAAUUAUGAAAAUAGCUCUCAGUGUAUCCCCAUGACCCAUAAAUAAAAGCAAGUAAGGGCAAAUCACCCUUAGGCACAAUAUGAACAGGUUGUUGGUAUCUGUAGGAAACUAUCUAAAAGACUUGACAAACAAAAUUCUAAAAUAGUAUAUUCACUAAAAUGUGUGGCAGUCUGGUUUAAACACUUGAAGCUUAGAGGAGUUUUGUCUUCCAGUAAAAACUAAAUGAAUGAGUAUAGGGGUCAGAAAGUCAGAAAGAGAUGGAGCAGUUUAAUCUUUAAUACACUCUGGAAACUAAACCACCAGCUCUCCUUCCAAGACAGGGUACCACACUGCAAAGAAAUUUCUGAGAAUAGAAUUAAAAUUAAGGAGGUCAGAAAUAAUACAGAAGAAGGAAAGAGAAGAUCCAUGUAAAAGUAGGAGAACCAGAAGCAGGAAUUUUAAGCAAGUCACCCUAUUUCUUUAACAUAUGUAAAAACAGCAGAAAUGAGGCUACUAUGAAGUUUGAAAAGCCUCUCUGAAUACAUGUUUGUAAAGGAUCAGGAGAACAUUUCACAUUUUCUUGUAUGACAAACUCAAUUAUAAAUAAAGAGCAAAAUAAAAGAUAAUGGGAAGUAGAGGAUCAGGAAAUGAAAAGAAGAGGAAGGGGAAGAAAGGGGGAUAUAAAAGUAAUUCAGAGUGUUAUGUACAUGUACCAACUCUACACAAGGAAUGUAAACAUGUACUACACACAUGUACUAAUAAAACAUUUUUAAAUGAUUAAAUUAUGUUUGCACAACUCUUAAUAUAUCACAACCCACUGAACCUAUUUUAGUGUAUGAAUUUUAUGGUAUGUGAAAUAAAUCUCAAAGUUGUUUUUAAAAAUGAACAGAAUUAUCAAGAUUAAAUCACACACAAAAUUAUUUUAAGGGGAAAAGAUCAUUUGAAAACACUGCAGAAAGAUGUACUCAAAAAACAACAAAUCUUAAUCUGAACAUAUUUUUUUAAAAUGAGUCAGAAGGUGUUUUGAAAAUAACAAAACAGGGAAGGACCACAUAAAGUAGAAUUAGAGAAACUUUAGAAAUGUGGUAACAACUUCUGGAAAGGAAUAAUUUCAGACAGGAAAGCUAAAGUAGAAGACAAGAAUGAAUAAACACAAAAAAUGCUCUACUGAGGUAGAAAUGGAAUAUUUUUAAAAGCUAAGGAAGUGAGAUUUGAGAUAAAGUGACAUAUUAAAGAUGGCAAAAAAGAUCUGGCAUAUGAAUAAUGAGAGUAUCUGAAGAACAACGCAAGGAAAAAGAAUAAUGCUAAAAACUAAUAUUAAGGAAACUUUCCUGAAAGUAAAAAAAAAAAGAUGAAAAAGCAUACAAUAUAGCUGAGAAUUUUGACCCAAAAUGACCAAUGCACACAUUCUAAAAAAUUAUUAGACUUCAAAGAAAAAAUACUAUGGACAUCUCAGUAAAAACAGCACAUGACUGACUUACAAAGAGACUUACAUUACCUUUAAGUUUUUCUAUACUCAUACUUUAUGCCACAAAAAUAUAAAUUUCUCUCUCUCUCUCUCUCUCUCUCUCUCUCCCUCUCUCCCUCUCCCCUAAAGCUCAUGUAAACAUACAUUGUAGGAGCUUGUUUGCUUCCUGUAAGUAUGGUGGUCCACUUCCCGAGGUAUGAAGGAGCCAGAGAAAAUAAUUUGAAAACAAAACAAAAAAAAUUAUUAAAGCACAGGGCUGGCGACACAGCCUCCAGUAGUCAGUAUGGAAGACUACACACCUUACAGCUAAAGGGCAGGGUUUUAUCCUGUAAAACUGCAAACAUCUGCUGGUCUCACAAUGCAGGCAGGGUGGGUUCUCAGCACACUACAGGACAGGAACAUGGAGGUUGCAUUUCUUGGGAAGAACGAGGUUCAGGUAGGGGUUGGGCUAACAAGCAAGUUUAAAUUAGGCAAACAUCCUCUGGGGAAGGCACAUGCUGCAAACAAGCAAGUUUAGAUUAGGAAGACAUCCUGUUCUUCUGUUAGAGUUACCUUUGAUCUUUCUCUUGCCUCUGAGGAGAUUUAUGAGGGUUUUAUAUAUAUAUAUAUAUAUAUAUAUAUAUAUAUAUAUAUAUAUAUAUAUGACCUUUAAGACGUUAGAAUCUCCUCACUUCUCACUAUUCAGUGUUUUUGUAAUUAUUCCUUGACUUAAUUUCAAAGAGGACUGUUUUCAAUCCGGCUGGUCCUUUCUUUUGCCUGUGGAAAAAAUAUAUAGUAAAUAUUUAAGAUAUCCAAAAGGUUAGAGAACAAAAAGCCUUAUAGUACUGCAUAUGAAUUCCUGGAAAAUUAUGCUUAAAAGUAAAAGCACAUACGACUGAUCUAUCCACCAAAGAGGUUCACAAGCUAGGCGUGGUACUUGUAAUCCUAGCACUCAGGAGGCUGAGGCAGAGGAACACUAUGAGUUGGAGGCCAGCCUAAAUUACAGAAUGAGACCCUGUCUCAAAAAACAACAAAAACAAAGGCUUAGAAACAAGAGCUAGCCCAGUAGUGAUGAAUAUACCUAGUAACCUAGAUUGUAUAUGAAGAUACCAUUCCCAUUCUAAGAAAAAAAUCAAGAUAUCUUAGAUAGCUAAUUUCAGGUAUAGGACAGGAUGUGUCUGAGAUUAGUUUGGAAAAAUUAGGCAUGAACAAUAGGGAAGAAACUUUCAAAGACUACUAGGAUUAUAUCACAAGGACUCAAUAGCCAGUUUGAUGUUUUCAUUGGCCAGUUGGGCUUAAAAAAGUGUAUGAAUUUAGUGACUAGGGAUAUAGCUCAGUGGUAAAGCACCUGCUUACCAAACACAGAGCCCUGGGUUCAUUCCGAGUAGCACACACAGCAAAAACAAUUGAUAGUAGUAGUGAGUACAUUUAGUGGCCAAAUCUUGAUUGCUUUUAAAAUUUUUAUUCACAUACAAAUUGUACAUGUUUAUAAAGUAUCAUGUGAUCUUUCAAUACUGUGUAUAUCAGUGUUCAAAUCAGGAUAAAUCUUUUUCCACAGAGAUACGUAAUUUGUCAUUGUAAAAACAUUCAAAAUCUAUUUUGCUAGCUUUGUGUCUUUUGAGUGCUGGGGAUGGAACCCAGGGCCUUUAAUUUGGCAGGUACUAUACACUGAGCUGAAACACCAACCCUUUUCUAGCUGUUUUUUCAAAUACACAGUAGAUUAACAUUGUCAGUCACCCUGCUGUGUAAUAGAGCACCAGAACCACUUUUCCUACCUGAUAAUACCCAUUAAGCCUUUCCCUAUAUUUCCCACUUUCCCCAAUCUCUGCUAACCACCAUUCUAUUCUUAAGUCCUAUGAGAUCAAAUUUAAUUCCACUUGACUGAGUUCAUGUGGUACUGUUCUCUCUGUGCCUAGCUUAUUUCAGUUACCAUGGUGUCACAUUUGAUGGGAUCUCAACCUUUUUAUUGCUGAAUAGUAUUCCAAUGUGUAUAUGUACAUUUUCUUUAUUCAUUCCACAAUAGGUGGCCACUUAGGUUGAUUGCAUUUUUGGGCUACUGUUGAGUUCUGUAAUAAACAUGGGAGAUUUCUGUUUAACAGACAGAUUACACUUCCUUUGGAUAUAUGCCAGGUCUGGGAUGGCUGGGUAAUGUCAUUCUGUUUUUAAUUUUUGAGGAACCUUUUCACUGUUUUCCAUAGUUAACAUCUUAAUUUUACUGUAAAUUUAAAAUUUUAAAGUUGUUUUUUGUGUUUUGGUUUUGUGUGUGUGUGUGUGUGUGUGUGUGUGUGUGUGUGUGUUUACUGGGGAUUGAACUCACGACCUCACGUUUACCCAGCAAGCGCUUGAGCCACUGAGCUAAAUCCCUGGCUCUAAUGUUAAAUUUUUUAAAGUAUUUUUAAAAAGCAUUGCAGUUGAUUGAAACCUAUUAAAUAUGUUUAAUGUCUUAUUUUUCUCUCAUUGCUGAGACAAAAUACCCUGUGCCACAAAAAAGGAAAGGUUUAUUUAGCUCACAGUCUGUAGAAGUUUUAGUCCAUAAUAAGCUAGCUCCAGGGCAGGGCGACAUGGCAUAGUAGCGACAGUUCAAGACAGCAGAAGAUACCAAAAACAAAAAGAGCAAAAGUGGGUGGGGGAAGCAAUCUUUUUUACCUCCCUUAUAUUGUAAGCCAGCCACCUGCCCGUGAGUGGGUAUAGCUCAUCAUCUCCUUGCCUUCCUCUUGCACAGGCUCAGUAUGUUUAGAAAGUGAGGACCCUGGCCCCCUGCUGAGUCACUUACACUUCUGAACUUCUCAGGCUGACACAAUGAACAUUUUACAGGGAUAGGAGCAUGCCCUGUAAAUAUUAGGAUAUAGAACUGCUGAGUUACUUAGUUAAGUUUCUAAACUUCUCAAAUUGACACAGUAUAUCAGAUAUUACAAACCACCCCUUGGCAACUUGGCAGUCAGACACAUUUCUUUAAACUAGUUUCCAGAUACAAUGACAUGCUUAUUAUCAUUUCACAACUUGAAUAUUAUAACACAGAUUUAAAACUCCUUAAGAACCAGUACUAAGUCUAUCAGCGUUACAUUACAUUAGAAUCAUAACAUCCCACCUGUGGCCCUCACAGACUUACGCACAUCCCUUUAUGCAAAAGGCAUUUGACUAAGAGUUGCCAAAGUCCUAACAGGUUCAGGCACAAAGUCCAAGUCCAGAGUCUUCUGAGAUGUAAGGCAAACACUUAGUUGCAAGCCCCUGUACAAAUGAAAAAUUAGACAACGUCCACCAUUCAGCGGCACAAAAUAAACAUUUUCAUUCCAAAAGUUAGAAAUGGGAAUACAAAGGAUUGGUACCAAAACAAGUCCAGAAUCCAGCAGGGCAAACAGCAAGUCCUGUAGUUCCACAUGCAGCAUUUGAAGCAAUCUGUGGCAAAUUGUGAGCUCCAAAGGGCUUGAGUGACUCCACCCUUAUGGCACUUCUGGUGGUCACAGUUCCCACAGCUUCUCUCUUAGGCGUGCUUUGCUCCCUCCUUUUAUCUUUCCUUAGAUGAUCCACAUUCCUGGCUGAGGUUUCCACUGAACCUUCAGCUUCACACUUGGAGCUUCACACACUACUCUCUCAGGAGCACACUGCCUGAAAUUGGAGUGGAAGCCGUUUUAACUUUUAACUCUUGCUUUCUGUAUGCACCCAAAACCAGCACCACAUGGGUGACACCAGGGUCUGCUGCCAGCUAGAACAGUAUGCAGGUUUCUUUCCUCUUGGCUGUAGAGAUCAAGUGCCUGGAUUGCUGGUCAUUCUGAAUCAAUUUCUUUCUUUCUUUCUUUCUUUUUUUUUUUUUUUUUUUGGUCUUUUUGAGAGGGUUUCUCUAUGCAGUUCAGGCUGGCCCUGAGCUCACUUUGUAGCCCAGGCUGGUCUUGAACUCAGAAUGAUCCUCCUGCCCCAGCCUCCCGAGUGCUGGGAUUAUAGGCAUGAGCCACCACACCCAGCCCUGAAUCAAUUUCUGAAGAACAGAUUUUCUAUGCUGCCACCAUUCUGGCACACGGUGCUCUGAGGCUUUCUGAAAGCAGAACCUUACACCUUUGCACUUUUGAGGCUUUCAGGGUGGAAACUUGCUGCUGCUUAUGAUGUCCUCUGGCUAUCUUAUAUUCUCCUGUUCCUUCUCAGCAAUUGAGAGAUCUCCUCAGCUGUACCUUUGCAGACAACAACACCUUUGCUGGAUCUUUCUGUCCAAACUCACAACAUUUUAAGUCAUCCUGCUGGGCUCCUUGCUCUUUGAUUUUCAACAUAGAUGUGGCUCAAAGCCCCAAUCAGCAACCAUGCUACAGCCUCAACAUUCAACUGCUCUGAAAUUUCUUCUGCCACACUAGUUAAUCUGUCACCCUCAGUCUCAGACUCAGGCAAAAUCUUGACACAAGGAAAAUGAAGAUAAGCUUUCUGCCAAGCUAUAACAAAUCAUCUGGGAUCCAACAGCCAGUAUAGUCCUCCUUAGCAGAAAUGUCCCAAACCUGAUUUUUACUGGCAGGAUUUCUAUGAGCCUCUCUGGUCUUCUGAGCUCUGACCAGAAUCGCCAAUACAGAACAGCAUUUCAGCUCUGCUCUUUGAGGCAAUAUCUCCUAACCUUUCCAAUUUCUAAGCCCAUAAUUAUAUUUUAAAACAAAAACAGAUUGGUAUAAUAGGGAACCUGGUAAAUGAUAGGAAAGAAUCUUGUAUUCAUCUUUUGCACUGGCUGACUAAACAGUGAUAAAUGAGGGGAAGCUCCUCUUUAUAAAAGUACUCCAGUUAUAGCUUCCAUGGCUUCUCUCUCAGGCAUGCUUUGUUCCCUCGUAUCUGUCCUUAGAUAGUUGCCUGAUUUCAUUGCUUUUAGUACUGUGGUGAGGCAGGACAUCAAGAUGGGGAGCAUGUAACAAAGCAAAGCUCCUCGUCAUGAUGGCUGGGAAGCAAAGAGGGAAAGGGGGCUGGGGCCCCACUAUCUGGUUCAAACACAUCCCCAAAACUUGAAGACUUACCAUCAGGUCCCAUAUCCUAAAGGUUCCACCAGCUUCUUCAAUGGAACAUUGGUUUAUUUCUUUAAUAUAUUUGAGUAGUUUCCAGUAUUUUUUUAUUUUACAAUAAAGAGGUUGAAAAGAAUACCAGAGGGGCUGGGGAUUUAGCUCAGCGGCACAAGCGCCUGCCUUGCAAGCAGGCAGUCGUGAGUUCGAUCCCUGGUACCGAUAAAAACGAAAAAGACAAAAAAGAAAAUGAAAAAAAAAAAAAAAAAAGAAAAGAAUACAAGUUGUUAGAUCAGAUCCCCACACAUUUCAUUCUUUGUUAUGUAGAAUAUUUCUCAUGGCAAAUUCAGGGUAGCCAGAAAAAUACUGCUUUGGAUUCACCAAAAAAAAAACAAAACAAAACAAAACAAACAAACAAACAAACAAAAAAAACCAUGCAAAGAGAGAUAGCAGUUUGUUCAUUUCUUUUUAGUGUACACAUUCUAGUAAGUUCCAUUAGAACCUCAGAACGGAUCUUAGCACAUACAAAGCACAUAAGCAUUCUCUUCUUGUGGGUCCAACUGCCCUGUGGUUUUCAGUCUUAACAAAAAUUGUAUUACUAGGCCAGGUAUAGUGUACACCCGUAAUUCCAGAAGUCUUGAAGGCUGAGGAAAGAGGAUUACAAGUUCAAGCCUAGCCUGGGUAACUUAGCUACUUAACUUGACCUUGUCUCAAAACGUAAAAAGGGCUGGAGAUACAGAUCAGUGUGAAGGCCUUUGGUUCAGUCCACAGCUGAUGCAUACAUACACGUAACUGUAAUAAAGGAAAUGAGUGGAAUAGGAAAAAAUCACCUGUAGUCCCUCUUUCCUGGUGAUUCAUAAGUCGUAAAACCAUAAAUAUUUUUCUUUUAGUUGGUUGUUGAUUUUACUUUUAUUGAUAGUGAUGUUUUUAUUUUGAGGACAGGAGUUUUGGGCCAUUAGCAAAAAUUCUUUACCAAAAUGGAAUUCAUUCUGGAGGGGACACUUCUGUGUUUUUAGCUUCUUGUGAAAACUACCAGAGCAUCUUUUCUUACUAUUUAGUAUGUAAUACAUAAAGCAACAAAAAUACUCUUCCCCACCUCUGCUGGGCCCCUUGUUCCCUUAUCAUCUGAGAUUAUAUUGAGAGUGCAGGUGAACUCCCUACAUUUUUGUUAGCAUACUCUCAAUAUCAUGCCCUUUUUUUCAUUUUCUGACUUUAGUUGAUUUCAGAAGAGUGGCUCAGCAACAGGAAGAUGAAGAAAAGGAAAAAGAGGAUGAUGA
Molecule: RNA transcript, 11022 nt
Organism: Cavia porcellus (domestic guinea pig)
Lineage: Eukaryota; Metazoa; Chordata; Mammalia; Rodentia; Caviidae
Gene: Igbp1
Gene name: immunoglobulin binding protein 1
Exons: 7
Source: RefSeq, a predicted model, not a curated record